AUUGAACGCUGGCGGCAGGCUUAACACAUGCAAGUCGAGCGGGGGAAGGUAGCUUGCUACCGGACCUAGCGGCGGACGGGUGAGUAAUGCUUAGGAAUCUGCCUAUUAGUGGGGGACAACAUCUCGAAAGGGAUGCUAAUACCGCAUAAGCCCUUCGGGGGAAAGCGGGGGUCGCAAGACCUCGCGCCGAUGGACGAGCCGAAGUCGGAUUAGCUAGUUGGUAGGGUAACGGCCUACCAAGGCGACGAUCCGUAGCUGGUCUGAGAGGACGACCAGCCACACUGGGACUGAGACACGGCCCAGACUCCUACGGGAGGCAGCAGUGGGGAAUAUUGGACAAUGGGGGCAACCCUGAUCCAGCGACGCCGCGUGUGUGAAGAAGGCCUGCGGGUUGUAAAGCACUUUUAGUGGGGAUGAAAAGUACAUCGCUAAUACCGGUGUAUCUUGACCUAACCCAAAGAAGAAGCACCGGCUAACUCUGUGCCAGCAGCCGCCGUAA
Molecule: ribosomal RNA, 499 nt
Filed under: uncultured bacterium
Lineage: Bacteria
Description: partial 16S ribosomal RNA
Rfam family: Bacterial small subunit ribosomal RNA
Source: RNAcentral